ACGGAGGGUGCGAGCGUUGUCCGGAAUCACUGGGCGUAAAGGGCGCGUAGGUGGCGCGGUAAGCGGGUGGUGAAAGUCCGGGGCUCAACCCCGGAUCGGCCAUGCGAACUGCCGCGCUUGAGCACUGUAGAGGCAGGUGGAAUUCCGGGUGUAGCGGUGGAAUGCGUAGAGAUCCGGAAGAACACCGGUGGCGAAGGCGGCCUGCUGGGCAGUUGCUGACACUGAGGCGCGACAGCGUGGGGAGCAAACAGGAUUAGAUACCCUGGUAGUCCACGCCGUAAACGAUGGGCACUAGGUGCUUGGGGGAGCGACCCCUUGAGUGCCGGCGCUAACGCAUUAAGUGCCCCGCCUGGGGAGUACGGCCGCAAGGCUG
RNAcentral lists this ribosomal RNA (373 nucleotides) under uncultured bacterium. Its description in RNAcentral is "bacterial SSU rRNA". It matches the Rfam family "Bacterial small subunit ribosomal RNA", at positions 525 to 896 of the family's 1533-position model. The record is from RNAcentral.